CCUACGGGUGGCAGCAGUGAGGAAUAUUGGUCAAUGGGCGGAAGCCUGAACCAGCCAAGUAGCGUGCAGGAUGACGGCCCUACGGGUUGUAAACUGCUUAUAUACGGGAAUAACGCGCCUUACGUGUAGGGCUUUGCAUGUACCGUAUGAAUAAGGACCGGCUAAUUCCGUACCAGAAGCCGCGGUAAUACGGAAGGUCCGGGCGUUAUCCGGAUUUUUUGGGUUUAAGGGGUGCGCAGGCGGUCUGUUAAGUCAGCGUUAACAGCCCGGGGCUCACCCCCGGCCCGCCGUUGAAACUGGCAGUCUCGAGUUGGAGAGAAGUAUGCGGAAUGCGCGGUGUAGCGGUGAAAUGCAUAGAUAUCGCGCAGAACUCCGAUUGCGAAGGCAGCAUGCCGGCUCCACACUGACGCUGAGGCACGAAAGCGUGGGUAUCGAACAGGAUUAGAUACCCGUGUAGUC
RNAcentral lists this ribosomal RNA (459 nucleotides) under uncultured bacterium. RNAcentral's name for it is "partial 16S ribosomal RNA". It matches the Rfam family "Bacterial small subunit ribosomal RNA", at positions 338 to 795 of the family's 1533-position model. The record is from RNAcentral.